GCGGGGAUAGCCAAGCGGUCAACGGCGUCCGGCUCAAGACCGGAUCCUUAGUGGUUCGGGAGUUCGAAUCUCCCUCCCCGCACCA
This 85-nucleotide transfer RNA is filed under the name Candidatus Heimdallarchaeota archaeon. Its description in RNAcentral is "tRNA-Leu". It matches the Rfam family "tRNA". Rfam says of the family: Transfer RNA (tRNA) molecules are approximately 80 nucleotides in length. RNAcentral also lists the same sequence under 2 other names. Lineage: Archaea; Promethearchaeati; Candidatus Heimdallarchaeota. The record is from RNAcentral.